Molecule: ribosomal RNA, 239 nt
Filed under: uncultured bacterium
Lineage: Bacteria
Description: partial 16S ribosomal RNA
Rfam family: Bacterial small subunit ribosomal RNA
Source: RNAcentral
UACGUAGGGUGCGAGCGUUGUCCGGAAUUAUUGGGCGUAAAGAGCUUGUAGGCGGUUUGUCGCGUCUGCUGUGAAAAUCCGGGGCUCAACCCCGGACUUGCAGUGGGUACGGGCAGACUAGAGUGUGGUAGGGGAGACUGGAAUUCCUGGUGUAGCGGUGAAAUGCGCAGAUAUCGGGAGGAACACCGGUGGCGAAGGCGGUUCUCUGGGCCUGUACUGACGCUGAGGAGCGAAAGCGU